RNAcentral lists this long non-coding RNA (239 nucleotides) under Linum usitatissimum (flax). RNAcentral describes it as "long non-coding RNA (LUSI_LNC000452)". The record is from RNAcentral. Lineage: Eukaryota; Viridiplantae; Streptophyta; Magnoliopsida; Malpighiales; Linaceae.
UCAAUAAAUAUAGAAUAUAGUUUACUGUAUAUACUAUUAGUAUAGACUAUAUACACAUAAUUUGUAUUAACAAUAAUGUCACGUGUACCUUGGUGGUGGGCCACACAGUAAAUACUUAUUUACCAGUUAUUCUUUUAUCCUAAAUUACCAUCGUCCACAUCUACAGUUUUACUUUUAUCUUAACUUUCGGAGGUCACUCUCCUUCACGAAAAGCCCAUGGAAUCCGUACGGAACCCGCC